RNAcentral lists this unclassified non-coding RNA (433 nucleotides) under soil metagenome. RNAcentral's name for it is "partial contains 5.8S ribosomal RNA, internal transcribed spacer 2, and large subunit ribosomal RNA". The stretch from base 1 to 120 matches the Rfam family "5.8S ribosomal RNA", at positions 35 to 154 of the family's 154-position model. The record is from RNAcentral.
GAUGAAGAACGUAGCGAAAUGCGAUACGUAAUGUGAAUUGCAGAAUUCAGUGAAUCAUCGAAUCUUUGAACGCAUAUUGCGCUCUCUGGUAUUCCGGAGAGCAUGCUUGUUUGAGUACCAGUAAACACCUCAACUUCCAUAUCUUUUUUGAAAUGGGAGUUGGACUUGAGUGAUCCCAACGCUUUUCCUCACCGAAAAGUGGCGGGUUACUUGAAAUGCAGGUGCAGCUGGACUUUUCUCUGAGCUAUAAGCAUAUCUAUUUAGUCUGCCUAAAAAACAGAUUAUUACCUUUGCUGCAGCUAACAUAAAGGAGAUUAGUUCUUGUGCUGACUGAUGCAGGAUUCACAAAGACAGGCUUCGGCCGACUUUGUAAACUCGAUCUCAAAUCAAGUAAGACUACCCGCUGAACUUAAGCAUAUCAAUAAGCGGAGGA